This is a long non-coding RNA of Frankliniella occidentalis (western flower thrips), 542 nucleotides long. RefSeq lists it as uncharacterized. The transcript has 2 exons. The record is from RefSeq and is a predicted model, not a curated record. NCBI's taxonomy places the organism in Eukaryota, Metazoa, Arthropoda, Insecta, Thysanoptera, Thripidae.
UUUGUGCAGAUCCUGACGCAGCGCGUCCAAUCAGCACAACAGAGGGUACCGAAGCGGCGCGCUCGAGACGGGUCGGACGGUGACAACGGCUUGGGCUCCAGUGGUUCGUACGUGGACUCACUGGCCGGCAGCAGAGGGUCUCGGAAUGAAGAGCUGCUGGAAACUCUGAACUAUGCGAAACAGCAACGGGGUCCGUGAUCGCCAUCGCGGCAGCUGCCAUCAAGACAUUCCAGCUAGACAAGUUGUGGAGGCCACUCUCUUACUUCCCAAAACCACACAACGGAAGCACAGGUUGGUAAGAAAUUGGUUAGUUACACCAAGGUAACACGUAAAAUUAAAAAUGCGAUAAGAUGCUUCCCGAUGGAGUGGCCAGUGGCCUGCCUCCAUCCCACUCGCACAAGUGGAUUUUGCUCGCUCAGAACUGUUUCUAAAUUUUAUUGGGCGGACAGGUGUUAAGUAAAUUACCUUACCCCUAGGAAUUUUUAUAACUUUAUUCACGUCACAUGAAAGUGCAGAGAGGAUAGUGUAUGUGAAUAAUUAGU